RNAcentral lists this long non-coding RNA (1099 nucleotides) under Elaeis guineensis (African oil palm). RNAcentral describes it as "long non-coding RNA (EGUI_LNC058899)". Lineage: Eukaryota; Viridiplantae; Streptophyta; Magnoliopsida; Arecales; Arecaceae. The record is from RNAcentral.
AUAUUCUUACUUACUUGACUGCACAAUUCUCUGCACGCACAUAUUUCUCACUAUUUUUAAAAAUCUACACAUAUCUCAUUUAAAUAUUUGAAAAUUAAUUCACCCCCUCUCUUCAGUUGUCUAGCUAGGCAAUACAUCAACGUCCUUAUUUCAAAAUUCAAAAGUGUCCGUAAUAUUUAAUCGACUUCAAAAUGAAAAAGAUAGGUGCAAUAACUACCUCAUAAAUUUCAAUCGAAAAUCUCACCACAUCGUGCCUGAAUCGGCCAUGUAACUUUCUGAAAUAGAUUUUUAACUUUCAUCUAUAAAAGGAUCUAAAGGAGACCCCUCAAGGUGCGUGCGAACAAUCUCUCUAUACUCCUCCUCAUCUAUUUUCAAUGUUAUCUGACUUGAGCGUCAAAGGAUCUCCAUUGAAACCAACUCCAAUCAAGACUUGCUUGUUGGUUUCUCUUCUGGGAGGACGUGCCACUGCUCCAGCCUCUCCAAUCAUGAUCCACAUUUUAACAACAACUGAGGCCAACACAGUGUUUGGCGAUCAAAGAUCAGUUUGAUCAAAUAAUUUUAUUGAAUCAAGAUCAGAUUAAGAUAUAAUUGACUCUAUAGAGAUCAAAUGAAUCAAAUUUGAUGGUAUGUGGAUCCAGCUAAGGUGGGUACUAGCACGCUGUCUGGUAAUCAAGGAUCAAAAUUUUUUACUAAGCUCAAUUAAAAUCGUCGAAAAAAAGCUCUUUACUCGAUCAAUCUUAGAGAGAUAAAUUUCAUAAAAGGAGAUAAUGCUAGAUAGAGAAAGUUGUAGAGAGAGAAAUUAGAAAGAGAAAGUGGGUUGCAAGCUAAAGAGAGAAGGGAGAGAAGGAAGAGAGAGAAAUUAGAGAGAGAACAUAGGCUGCAAGCCAAGAGAGAAGGGAGAGAGGGCACAGAGAGAAUAGCUCUCCUCCUUUUUUCUUUUCUUUCUUUUUUUCUCUUCUUCUUCCUUAAUGGAGCAGGGGAUUUGUGUUCUCCUUCCUAAAAUAGAUAAGGUUCUCCUCCCAGCCGGCAAUACCCAUGGCUGAAGGAGCAGACCCCAGUGGCAACAAUUGGCUUGGUCUGUUGACCACCAGUGGCAAAC